UGGGGAAUAUUGCACAAUGGGCGCAAGCCUGAUGCAGCCAUGCCGCGUGUGUGAAGAAGGCCUUCGGGUUGUAAAGCACUUUCAGCGAGGAGGAAGGUGGUGAGCUUAAUACGCUCAUCAAUUGACGUUACUCGCAGAAGAAGCACCGGCUAACUCCGUGCCAGCAGCCGCGGUAAUACGGAGGGUGCAAGCGUUAAUCGGAAUUACUGGGCGUAAAGCGCACGCAGGCGGUUUGUUAAGUCAGAUGUGAAAUCCCCGGGCUCAACCUGGGAACUGCAUUUGAAACUGGCAAGCUAGAGUCUCGUAGAGGGGGGUAGAAUUCCAGGUGUAGCGGUGAAAUGCGUAGAGAUCUGGAGGAAUACCGGUGGCGAAGGCGGCCCCCCUGGACGAAGACUGACGCUCAGGUGCGAAAGCGUGGGAGCAAAACAGGAUUAGAUACCCUGGUAGUCCCANCUGUAAACGAUGUCGAUUUGAGGUUGUGCCCUUGAGGCGUGGCUUCGGAGCUAACGCGUUAAAUCGACCGCCUGGGGAGU
This 533-nucleotide ribosomal RNA is filed under the name uncultured bacterium. Its description in RNAcentral is "partial 16S ribosomal RNA". It matches the Rfam family "Bacterial small subunit ribosomal RNA", at positions 355 to 881 of the family's 1533-position model. The record is from RNAcentral.